Molecule: small RNA, 616 nt
Filed under: Pan troglodytes (chimpanzee)
Lineage: Eukaryota; Metazoa; Chordata; Mammalia; Primates; Hominidae
Description: processed transcript
Source: RNAcentral
CUGGAGGAUGUAGAUGCUGCUUUCACAGAUACGGACUGUGUGGUGCGGUUUGCAGGUUGAGGCUGAUGAACAGCUUUGCAUACCACCGCUGAACUCCCAAACCUGCCUCCUGGGCUCAGAGGAGAAUUUAGCCCCUUUGGCAGGAGAGAAAGCAGUGCCUCCCGGGAAUGACCCAGUCUCUCCAGCCAUGGUCCGGAGCAGAAACCCUGGGAAAGAUGACUGUGCCAAGGAGGAGAUGGCAGUGGCAGCAGAUGCUGCAGCCUUGGUGGAUGAGCCCGAGUCGAUGGUGAACCUGGCGUUUGUCAAGAAUGACUCGUAUGAGAAGGGCCCGGAUUCAGUGGUGGUGCACGUGUACGUGAAGGAGAUCUGCAGGGACACCUCAAGAGUACUUUUCCGUGAGCAGGACUUCACGCUCAUCUUCCAGACCAGGGAUGGAAACUUCCUGAGGCUGCACCCGGGCUGUGGGCCCCACGCCACCUUCCGUUGGCAGGUGAAGCUCAGGAAUCUGAUUGAGCCAGAGCAGUGCACCUUCUGUUUCACGGCUUCUCGCAUCGACAUCUGCCUUCGUAAGAGGCAGAGUCAGCGCUGGGGGGGCCUGGAGGCCCCAGCUGCACGA